AGCGAACGCUGGCGGCAGGCUUAACACAUGCAAGUCGAACGGGCGUAGCAAUACGUCAGUGGCAGACGGGUGAGUAACGCGUGGGAACGUACCUUUUGGUUCGGAACAACCCAGGGAAACUUGGGCUAAUACCGGAUAAGCCCUUACGGGGAAAGAUUUAUCGCCGAAAGAUCGGCCCGCGUCUGAUUAGCUAGUUGGUGAGGUAACGGCUCACCAAGGCGACGAUCAGUAGCUGGUCUGAGAGGAUGAUCAGCCACAUUGGGACUGAGACACGGCCCAAACUCCUACGGGAGGCAGCAGUGGGGAAUAUUGGACAAUGGGCGCAAGCCUGAUCCAGCCAUGCCGCGUGAGUGAUGAAGGCCCUAGGGUUGCAAAG
Molecule: ribosomal RNA, 376 nt
Filed under: uncultured bacterium
Lineage: Bacteria
Description: bacterial SSU rRNA
Rfam family: Bacterial small subunit ribosomal RNA
Source: RNAcentral